Long non-coding RNA from Astatotilapia calliptera (eastern happy), 2052 nucleotides. NCBI's taxonomy places the organism in Eukaryota, Metazoa, Chordata, Actinopteri, Cichliformes, Cichlidae. The record is from Ensembl.
AGCUUACAUCCCUACCCCUCCUGCCCUCACCUGCUGUCCUUUUCUUUUUGUUUUUUUUGCUGCACAUUGAGAGACCACAUCUAUUCUGCAUUUCACCAGGAGUCAGCUGAUGGAUUGUGGGUUCAAGGUGUUAUGAUAAAAUGCAGCAUUCCAGUGCAUCCCAACCAUGCCUUUACAGUCAAGGUUUCUGACGGAGCUGAGUUUCUCUCUGACAGUCUGCUGAAAGUGUUUGCAAAGUGAUCGGGGGAACAGUGCACAAAGCUAAAGGAUGUAGCUGCCAUGAUGACAGAUGACAUUAAUGCUCAAAGGGAGUCUCAUCAAAGUGCUCCGCAUCUGUGUGAAAGACAAUUGCAACAUCUUGGUGCAGGAGUUCAUGGUGAGUGUUUUAUGAGUAGAUUGUGGCUUUGCAACAUUUAAAAAUGCAUUUAGUUAUCCACUUGAUCCUCAUUGGACUGGUUAGGACCAGUAGUCCUCUUUAAUAAUUUGAAGUUCACAUGAGGCCUAGUAGUGAACUCGGCCGCCGGCCCUUGAGGCCCCACCCCUACCCCUGUAUUAGGGGUCACAUCAGUGUGAAAAAACUUUAAAUUUGUCAUUCUAGUGAACAAAGAAAAAUCCCCCCAAUAUUUACAUUAGCUUUUGUUUGAAAAAAAAAAAAAAAAAGACCAACUGACCAACAGCUAACCAAAUUGUGGGGCUGAAAGUCUAAAUUCUAACAUCUUCUGAGUGACAUAACCUGGAUUUCUGAUGGGCCGGUGUCUUUCUAACAAAAACUAAUGUAAAGCAUUUGAAAUUAUUAUGUUUUUCACUCUCUCUUAGAAACUCUGUUAGACCAUGAAUGGCAGCAUGGCAGGCCACUCUUUGGCUAUAGCUAUUUACUAUGGUUUAAAUUACUCUAACAUUAGAACUGGUAGAUUCAAAAGAGAUGAGUUUAAAAGGGAAUCUUAAAAAAAUGUUUUGUGUUUAACCAGGACUUGACUGAGGCCACUGCACAGAUUGAGAAAACCACAAUGAACAUCUGUCUCCAGAGAUGCGCCAGGCAAUGACUUUUCUGAUGUUGGCAUCAUCAUCGAGGGUAUAGUAGUUCUUCAAGAUCUGGAUAACGUGACCUUUGCAGUAGCCAUGCUGUUUGGACCUUUUUUAUUCCUUCAAUAUGAGUUACCCAUCACAGCUCUGCUACACUUUUGAGGUGAUUCAAUGGGUGGUAAUGGAGUUGGAAGCAACUCAGCUCUCAAGAAAAGCUCACAACUGAGACAAAACUGCUCCUGCAAGGAAAGCUCACUGUUAUGCAUGCAAGGUGAUCAGCUCUAGGUGAGAGGACAUUUAAAUCUCACACUUGUUCUGCUGCAUUUUUGAAGCUCAAUUCCAGGAGCAGAUCGCAGGGUUCAUUUUUAUAUACUCUGCAACUGCCAUGAGGACAAGCCGUUUUUGUUGUUGUUGUUUGUUUUUCCUUUUGCUCUGUACAAGUUCUCUGUUUGUCUGUUUGGCAGCAUUUUUAAAUUUCUGUUUGUAUUUUUUCUUUCUUUUACUAGUGAAGAGAUGUAGCGUGAACAGUUAUACAGUCUAAAUAUCCCAUAUGGGUCGUGUGAAAUGGUAUUUUCAGUUUCAUUCAGUUGAAGUAAAGAACGUUGAAUAUUUCUAAGUAUGCUGUUUUGAACCAAGAUGUCACAGUAUGAUCAGUGCUGUAAUUUUUGACAGUCACUGUAUCAAUGUUAUUUUUGCGUCUCUUGAAUAAAGUUUUUGACCUGCAAGUGCUAAUUUCUUUAGUUAUUGGGGUAAAAUGGGUAAUGUUAAUAGGAAGGUGUUUGCCAAUUCAGUAACCUAAUUUAAUGUUAAUGGAAACUAACAUUUCCUCAAAUUGUUUAGUUAUAAUUGUUGUUUAACUGAAUCUUGACGUCAGAGGCCUUAAAUAGAAUGUUUUGUAUUGUCCUGUAACAUUUUUCAAAAGAAACAGUCCAAUUUCUUUGCUGUGAUUGAUUCCAGAGAACACGGAAGAACUGACAUUAUUUAACUGUUGAUUUAUAUAGAUUCAGUGGAGGAGUAAUGUCAGUUUAA